This 465-nucleotide ribosomal RNA is filed under the name uncultured bacterium. RNAcentral's name for it is "partial 16S ribosomal RNA". It matches the Rfam family "Bacterial small subunit ribosomal RNA", at positions 28 to 507 of the family's 1533-position model. The record is from RNAcentral.
GACGAACGCUGGCGGCGUGCUUAACACAUGCAAGUCGUACGGUAAGGCCCUUUCGGGGGUACACGAGUGGCGAACGGGUGAGUAACACGUGAGUAACCUGCCCACAACUUUGGGAUAACGCUAGGAAACUGGUGCUAAUACUGGAUAUGUGCUCCUGCUGCAUGGUGGGGGUUGGAAAGCUCCGGCGGUUGUGGAUGGACUCGCGGCCUAUCAGCUUGGUGGUGGGGUAGUGGCCUACCAAGGCGGUGACGGGUAGCCGGCCUGGGAGGGUGACCGGCCACAGUGGGACUGGGAGACGGCCCAGACGCCUACGGGGGGCAGCAGGGGGGAAUAUUGCACAAGGGGCGCAAGCCUGAUGCAGCAACGCCGCGUGCGGGAGGACGGCCUUCGGGUUGUAAACCGCGUUCAGCAGGGACGAAGCUUUUUGUGACGGUACCUGCAGAAGAAGCACCGGCUAACUACGUG